This is a long non-coding RNA of Mus musculus (house mouse), 717 nucleotides long. RefSeq annotates it as predicted gene, 42007. Lineage: Eukaryota; Metazoa; Chordata; Mammalia; Rodentia; Muridae. The transcript is spliced from 2 exons. The record is from RefSeq and is marked validated.
CUUUCCUGCUCAGCUCAGUUAAGGUUCCGGAUAUGCUGCUGACGCCUGGGGCAAUGAUUGCCUUUUGAGCAAAAUAGAUCGUGGAUGCUGGGGAGAUGGCCCUGAGGCUCAGAAUUACAGCUGAAGCAUGAAGACCUAUGUCUGGAUUCCAGUACCCACAUAAACUCUCCUCCCAGCACAAAGGCGAGCAGAGAGCAAUCGGACGGCUGGCACCUGCUUGCUCCCAGCCUGGUGGAAGAACUGGAACUCCGAGUUUAUCGACACGCUGUCAGAUUCUGCCUCAGAAGGAAUAAAGUAGGGAGUGAUGAGGGGGAUCCCCAAGAUUCCCCUCUGGCCUCCGCUGACUCCCCAACACAUACGCAGUACACACACACACCCCAACAUACAACCAAUUUGGAUUACGAAGAAAUGUGUCCACGGACUUGAAAAUGGACGCUUUGGCAGCAACUAUGAGCAGAGCCACGUAUAAUGCAUAGAGACUGAUACACUCCCUCUCCUGACUUCAGGAGCUCUUUUAUGUUUUGUUCUGGUUUGUUUGUUUGUUUUCGGGAAGUGUCUCAUUUCUCCCAGACUGGCCUCAAACUCACUAAGUAGCCGAGGAUGACCUUCCUUCUGGGUGCCGGAAUCACAGGUGUGCUCAGCUCUUCAACGCCAUUUCUUAGGGUUUUUUUGUUUUGUUUUGUUUUGUUUUGUUUUAUUAAAUAAGCAAUACAAUGA